UACGGGGGGGGUAAGCGUUGUUCGGAAUUACUGGGCGUAAAGGGCUCGUAGGCGGCCAACUAAGUCAGACGUGAAAUCCCUCAGCUUAACUGGGGAACUGCGUCUGAUACUGGAUGGCUUGGAUUUGGGAGAGGAGUGCGGAAUUCCAGGUGUAGCGGUGAAAUGCGUAGAUAUCUGGAGGAACACCGGUGGCGAAGGCGGCAUUCUGGACCAAUAUUGACGCUGAGGAGCGAAAGCCAGGGAGCAAAGCGGG
Molecule: ribosomal RNA, 253 nt
Filed under: uncultured bacterium
Lineage: Bacteria
Description: partial 16S ribosomal RNA
Rfam family: Bacterial small subunit ribosomal RNA
Source: RNAcentral